UAGCUCAGUUGAUAGAGCGUGGUGCUUGCAACGCCAGGGUUGUGGGUUCGAUUCCCGC
RNAcentral lists this transfer RNA (58 nucleotides) under Salmo salar (Atlantic salmon). It matches the Rfam family "tRNA", at positions 8 to 63 of the family's 71-position model. From Rfam's summary of the family: Transfer RNA (tRNA) molecules are approximately 80 nucleotides in length. RNAcentral also lists the same sequence under 1 other name. The record is from Rfam by way of RNAcentral. Lineage: Eukaryota; Metazoa; Chordata; Actinopteri; Salmoniformes; Salmonidae.